RNAcentral lists this long non-coding RNA (485 nucleotides) under Mytilus galloprovincialis (Mediterranean mussel). The record is from RNAcentral. Lineage: Eukaryota; Metazoa; Mollusca; Bivalvia; Mytilida; Mytilidae.
UUAUUUUUAGUUCUUAUUUUGCUGUACAUUAUUGCUGUUUACAGUUUAUCUCUAUCUAUAAUAAUAUUCAAGAUAAUAACAAAAAAACAGGCUCUCAAGUCGCUCACCUUGGUCUAUGUGCAUAUUAAACAAUGGACACAGAUAAAUUCAUGACAUAAUUGUGUUUUGGUGAUGGUGAUGUGUUUGUAGAUCUUACUUUACUGAACAUUCUUGUUGCUACAAUUAUCUCAAUCUAUAAUGAACUUGGCCCAGUAUUACAGUGGAAAAUAUUUUCUAAAAAUUUACAAAAAUUAUGAAAAAUGCUAAAAAUUAACUAUAAAGGGCAAUAACUCCUUAUGGGGUCAAUUGACUAUUUUGGUCAUGAAACUUAUUUGUAGAUCUUGUUUUGCUGAACAUUAUUGCUGUUUAUAGUUUAUCUCUAUCUAUAAUAAUAUUCAAGAUAAUAACAAAAAACGGCAAAAUUUCCUUAAAAUUACCAACUCAGG